Molecule: long non-coding RNA, 1230 nt
Filed under: Canis lupus familiaris (dog)
Lineage: Eukaryota; Metazoa; Chordata; Mammalia; Carnivora; Canidae
Description: lncRNA (ENSCAFG00845028027.1)
Source: RNAcentral
UUUUUUUUUUUUAAAGAUUUUAUUUAUUUAUUCAUGAGAGACGCACAGAGAGAGGCAGAGAAGCAGGCUCCCCAUGGGGAGCCCAAUACAGGACUUGAUCCUGGGACCCCAGGAUCAGGGCUUGAGCCAAAGGCAAAUGCUCAACCACUGAGCCACCCAGGCAUCAUGCCUCUCCCUCUUCCUCUCCUCCUCCUCCUCCUCCUCCUCCUCCUCCUCCUCCUUCUUCUUCUCUUUUUUAAGAUUUUGUCUAUUUAUUUGAGAGUGAGAGAGCAUGAGCAUAAGCAGAGGGAAGGCAGAGGGAGAGGGAGAAGCAGGCUCCCUGCUGAGCAGGGAGCCUGAUGCACGACUGGAUCCCAGGACUCUGGGAUCAGGACCCAGGCUGAAGACAGGUACUUAACUGACUGAGCCACCCAAGUGCCCCCUGUCGAUUUAAUCACAGCUUUGUGGGGACUGAAACAAUAAAUGCAAAUAUCUACAAUUUAAGAAAACUUAAUGGUUAGUAGCAUACAUUUAUCUGUACAGUUAAUUACAUGCAAUUGCCUUUUUUAUUGUAUAAACAUUUUAUUUAAGCAUAUCUCAAGUUUUUCUGCGUACGGUAAAAGUUUUAUUUAAGAUCCAGACUGGAGAUUUUAUGAAUUGCUGUUGGCAGGGAUUCACAGCACCCAGAUGACAUGUGACCUUUAUAAUCUGAACUUGAUGACAACCUUCAAAAUUGACCAGAGCAUUUUUUUAAAGAUUUUGUUUAUUUAUUCAUGAGAGAUACAGAGAGAGAGGCAGAGACACAGGCAGAGGGAGAAGCAGACUCCCUGAGGGGGAACCUGAUGUGGGACUCAAUCCCAGAUCUUCAGGAUCACGCCCUGGGCCGAACAGGUACCGAACCGCUGAGCCACCCAGGCAUCCCUUGACCAGCAUAUUGAGAUCAUAUAUCUGCCUUUCCUCUUUGGUUAAACUCCUAGUUUAAUUUUUUUCCCUUUCAAUUGAAUCACCUAUUACUGGAAUUAAAACAAUUUUCUUGGAAAUCCGUCAGGAGCUUUUGACGGAUGGUUGUUCUAGAACCUGAGAAAAAAUUACCUCCCUGAGCUAAGCAAGGUUAGCUUAGAAAAAUCUUAGGUCACCAAAUCUCUCGGAAUGUAUCUUAGAUUUAAUAGCUAAGAAAAAUCCAAGGUACAUUCCAAGAGAUUUGGUGAUUUCGAUUGCAUUUAACUGCACUGGUAUAUGAGAGGUAGCCUA